CUGCUCAGGAUGAACGCUGGCGGCGUGCCUAAUACAUGCAAGUCGAGCGAACGGACGAGAAGCUUGCUUCUCUGAUGUUAGCGGCGGACGGGUGAGUAACACGUGGAUAACCUACCUAUAAGACUGGGAUAACUUCGGGAAACCGGAGCUAAUACCGGAUAAUAUUUUGAACCGCAUGGUUCAAAAGUGAAAGACGGUCUUGCUGUCACUUAUAGAUGGAUCCGCGCUGCAUUAGCUAGUUGGUAAGGUAACGGCUUACCAAGGCAACGAUGCAUAGCCGACCUGAGAGGGUGAUCGGCCACACUGGAACUGAGACACGGUCCAGACUCCUACGGGAGGCAGCAGUAGGGAAUCUUCCGCAAUGGGCGAAAGCCUGACGGAGCAACGCCGCGUGAGUGAUGAAGGUCUUCGGAUCGUAAAACUCUGUUAUUAGGGAAGAACAUAUGUGUAAGUAACUGUGCACAUCUUGACGGUACCUAAUCAGAAAGCCACGGCUAACUACGUGCCAGCAGCCGCGGUAAUACGUAGGUGGCAAGCGUUAUCCGGAAUUAUUGGGCGUAAAGCGCGCGUAGGCGGUUUUUUAAGUCUGAUGUGAAAGCCCACGGCUCAACCGUGGAGGGUCAUUGGAAACUGGAAAACUUGAGUGCAGAAGAGGAAAGUGGAAUUCCAUGUGUAGCGGUGAAAUGCGCAGAGAUAUGGAGGAACACCAGUGGCGAAGGCGACUUUCUGGUCUGUAACUGACGCUGAUGUGCGAAAGCGUGGGGAUCAAACAGGAUUAGAUACCCUGGUAGUCCACGCCGUAAACGAUGAGUGCUAAGUGUUAGGGGGUUUCCGCCCCUUAGUGCUGCAGCUAACGCAUUAAGCACUCCGCCUGGGGAGUACGACCGCAAGGUUGAAACUCAAAGGAAUUGACGGGGACCCGCACAAGCGGUGGAGCAUGUGGUUUAAUUCGAAGCAACGCGAAGAACCUUACCAAAUCUUGACAUCCUUUGACAACUCUAGAGAUAGAGCUUUCCCCUUCGGGGGACAAAGUGACAGGUGGUGCAUGGUUGUCGUCAGCUCGUGUCGUGAGAUGUUGGGUUAAGUCCCGCAACGAGCGCAACCCUUAAGCUUAGUUGCCAUCAUUAAGUUGGGCACUCUAAGUUGACUGCCGGUGACAAACCGGAGGAAGGUGGGGAUGACGUCAAAUCAUCAUGCCCCUUAUGAUUUGGGCUACACACGUGCUACAAUGGACAAUACAAAGGGCAGCGAAACCGCGAGGUCAAGCAAAUCCCAUAAAGUUGUUCUCAGUUCGGAUUGUAGUCUGCAACUCGACUACAUGAAGCUGGAAUCGCUAGUAAUCGUAGAUCAGCAUGCUACGGUGAAUACGUUCCCGGGUCUUGUACACACCGCCCGUCACACCACGAGAGUUUGUAACACCCGAAGCCGGUGGAGUAACCUUUUAGAGCUAGCGUCGAGUGGGACAAUGAUGGGUGAGCUNGGA
This 1483-nucleotide ribosomal RNA is filed under the name Staphylococcus aureus. RNAcentral's name for it is "partial 16S ribosomal RNA". It matches the Rfam family "Bacterial small subunit ribosomal RNA". Lineage: Bacteria; Bacillati; Bacillota; Bacilli; Caryophanales; Staphylococcaceae. The record is from RNAcentral.